GACGAACGCUGGCGGCGUGCUUAACACAUGCAAGUCGAACGGAAAGGCCCUGCUUUUGUGGGGUGCUCGAGUGGCGAACGGGUGAGUAACACGUGAGUAACCUGCCCUUGACUUUGGGAUAACUUCAGGAAACUGGGGCUAAUACCGGAUAGGAGCUCCUGCUGCAUGGUGGGGGUUGGAAAGUUUCGGCGGUUGGGGAUGGACUCGCGGCUUAUCAGCUUGUUGGUGGGGUAGUGGCUUACCAAGGCUUUGACGGGUAGCCGGCCUGAGAGGGUGACCGGGCACAUUGGGACUGAGGUACGGCCCAGAAUCCUACGGGAGGCAACAGUGGAGAAAUUUGCACAAUGGGCGGGAGCCUGAUGCAGCAACGCCGCGUGCGGGAUGACGGCCUUCGGGUUGUAAACCGCUUUCGCCUGUGACGAAGCGUGAGUGACGGUAAUGGGUAAAGAAGCACCGGCUAACUACGUG
Molecule: ribosomal RNA, 468 nt
Filed under: uncultured bacterium
Lineage: Bacteria
Description: partial 16S ribosomal RNA
Rfam family: Bacterial small subunit ribosomal RNA
Source: RNAcentral